GGGCUUCAGCUAACGCGGCAGAUCUGCUGGGAUUCCUCGGUGGUACUUACACCACGCCCAGCGCAUACGAUAUAUUCUAUCAAUUCUUCUCCGGGGAUUCUGAUUUGCUAUCAUUGGAUACAACACUUAAUAUUAAAAAUUUAUCAGACAGGGAUCUGGCAGUAAUUCUCUCACUGGUUCAUGU
Long non-coding RNA from Papilio polytes (common Mormon), 184 nucleotides. RefSeq lists it as uncharacterized. Lineage: Eukaryota; Metazoa; Arthropoda; Insecta; Lepidoptera; Papilionidae. The record is from RefSeq and is a predicted model, not a curated record. The transcript is spliced from 2 exons.